AUCUUCUGAUCCUACAGUAUUUUUCCUGCAUCUAAUAUCACCAGUGCCAUGCAGACAGGAACUCACAACAUGGUGGAACGUCAGCCCAGAGCUGCUGUUGUGAAGCCCAAUGCCAAAAACUGGAUGUGUCCAUUUUGACUUUAGACUCGCAGGCCAGCCAUCCUUCUUCUGCUACUACUAUGGGAGUCUGUGUGUUCCAGAUGCUCCAGAGCUAAAGAGGGCCUUUUGCCUGCUUCUCCGAUAAAUCUCCCAGAGACACGUUUGGCA
Xiphophorus couchianus (Monterrey platyfish) is the source of this 267-nucleotide long non-coding RNA. RefSeq lists it as uncharacterized. Lineage: Eukaryota; Metazoa; Chordata; Actinopteri; Cyprinodontiformes; Poeciliidae. The transcript is spliced from 3 exons. The record is from RefSeq and is a predicted model, not a curated record.